RNAcentral lists this ribosomal RNA (253 nucleotides) under uncultured bacterium. Its description in RNAcentral is "partial 16S ribosomal RNA". It matches the Rfam family "Bacterial small subunit ribosomal RNA", at positions 524 to 776 of the family's 1533-position model. The record is from RNAcentral.
UACGGAGGGGGCAACCGUUGUUCGGAAUUACUGGGCGUAAAGGGCUCGUAGGCGGCCAACUAAGUCAGACGUGAAAUCCCUCGGCUUAACCGGGGAACUGCGUCUGAUACUGGAUGGCUGGAGGUUGGGAGAGGGAUGCGGAAUUCCAGGUGUAGCGGUGAAAUGCGCAGAUAUCUGGAGGAACACCGGUGGCGAAGGCGGCAUCCUGGACCGGUAUUGACGCUGAGGAGCGAAAGCUAGGGGAGCAAACGGG